Clupea harengus (Atlantic herring) is the source of this 1022-nucleotide non-coding RNA. Lineage: Eukaryota; Metazoa; Chordata; Actinopteri; Clupeiformes; Clupeidae. The record is from the annotation of a RefSeq genome assembly.
GUUCUAGUCUUGGGGGGAUUAUUUAUAGCCCUGUGAGUUCACCACUUCAUGGGUAAGAGCUGAUUCUCAUAGUGGAGAACUCAACAAUGACUUUCAUCUUCAUGUUCCUCUGGACACUUGUCCUCUGCUUUCAGAUCUCAUAUGGACAGGUCACUGUGACUCAGACUCCUGCAGUGAAAGCUGUUCAACAGGGAGGAUCAGUCACUCUCAACUGUAAAACCAGCAGUGAUGUGCAUGUGUAUUCAUCAAAUCAUCUAUUAGCCUGGUACCAACAGAAACCUGGAGCAGCUCCUAAACUCCUGAUCUACGGGGCCACAACACUUCAGUCUGGGACUCCAUCCAGAUUCAGUGGCAGUGGAACUCACAGUGACUUCACUCUGACCAUCAGUAAUGUCCAGGCUGAGGAUGCAGGAGUUUACUACUGUCAGAGUGAACACUAUAUCAGCAGUAAAUAUGAGUUCACUUUCGGUGGCGGCACAAGACUUGAUGUUGGAAGUGACACCAGUCCCAAACUCACAGUCCUGCCCCCCCUGCACACCAGCGGGAGUUCAGCCACGUUGAUGUGCCUGGCUAACGGAGGCUUCCCGUCCGACUGGACGCUGAGCUGGAAGGUAGCGGGGAGCAGCAGGAGCGGGGAGACCAGUCGCUUGGGCCCACAGAAGGACGGCCUGUACAGCUGGAGCAACACCCUGACCCUCCCUCUCCAGGAGUGGACCCAGGGGGUCUCAGUGACCUGCGAGGCAAAGCAGGGCUCCCAGACCGUCACUGAGAUUCUGAAGAAAUCAGACUGCUCCUAGGGUCCCCUUUCAAAUGUCUGUCAUUAGCCUGAUUGAAAGUGUGUUUGAUAAAGACUCUUCAUCUCUGAUAGGGACCCUCUUAUUUCUGUUAGUGUGCAGCACUGAGUCACUGUCUUUCCCUCCCUUUCCACUUCUUUUACAGCAUUUGGGAAUCUGAAGUGCUUGUUACUUUGACCCUUUCAUGUGUUUUGACCAUUUAUUAAUAAAGGAGUUUGAUGAAAAUCA